RNAcentral lists this ribosomal RNA (494 nucleotides) under uncultured bacterium. Its description in RNAcentral is "partial 16S ribosomal RNA". It matches the Rfam family "Bacterial small subunit ribosomal RNA", at positions 28 to 507 of the family's 1533-position model. The record is from RNAcentral.
GACGAACGCUGGCGGCGUGCUUAACACAUGCAAGUCGAACGGUGAAGCGCCUUCCUUUUUGGUGGGUGUGGAUGAGUGGCGAACGGGUGAGUAACACGUGAGUAACCUGCCCCCUUCUUCUGGAUAACCGCAUGAAAGUGUGGCUAAUACGGGAUAUUCUGGGUCUGUCGCAUGAUGGGUCUGGGAAAGAUAUUGUUUCGGUGGGGGAUGGGCUCGCGGCCUAUCAGCUUGUUGGUGGGGUGAUGGCCUACCAAGGCGGUGACGGGUAGCCGGCCUGAGAGGGUGGACGGUCACACUGGGACUGAGACCCGGCCCAGACUCCUACGGGAGGCAGCAGUGGGGAAUAUUGCACAAUGGGCGCAAGCCUGAUGCAGCGACGCCGCGUGAGGGAUGGAGGCCUGCGGGUUGUGAACCUCUUUCGCCAGUGAAGCAGGCCUGCCUCGUUUGUGGGUGGGUUGACGGUAGCUGGAUAAGAAGCGCCGGCUAACUACGUG